UACGUAGGUGGCAAGCGUUGUCCGGAAUUAUUGGGCGUAAAGCGCGCGCAGGUGGUUUCUUAAGUCUGAUGUGAAAGCCCACGGCUCAACCGUGGAGGGUCAUUGGAAACUGGGGAACUUGAGUGCAGGAGAGAAGAGUGGAAUUCCACGUGUAAGCGGUGAAAUGCGUAGAGAUGUGGAGGAACAUCUGGUGGCGAAGGCGGCCAUCUGGACCGCACUGACACUGAGGCACGAAAGCGUGGGGAGCAAACAGG
This 254-nucleotide ribosomal RNA is filed under the name uncultured bacterium. RNAcentral's name for it is "partial 16S ribosomal RNA". It matches the Rfam family "Bacterial small subunit ribosomal RNA", at positions 524 to 776 of the family's 1533-position model. The record is from RNAcentral.